Molecule: RNA transcript, 1462 nt
Organism: Aquila chrysaetos chrysaetos
Lineage: Eukaryota; Metazoa; Chordata; Aves; Accipitriformes; Accipitridae
Exons: 3
Source: RefSeq, a predicted model, not a curated record
GCAGUGCGGUGAGUCAUGGUGCUUUACAGGCUCAGGAAACACACACCAGGGUACCUGAUGUGGAUAUUUUUGAAGGUGAGGGAGAUCUGAGCUGAAUCACUGAAUGUUUGCCAAUGCAAAUUUGUUAAAUCUGCUGGGAAGUGUUUAGCGUACAUGCUGAAACUCUCAAACUUCCAAAUUUGUGCAGAAGAAAGGCUUGUUUGGACUCAUCGCUAAUCUGCGAGAGGUGCUCGCUUCCCUUGUCCGGCUGGCAGCCUUCCCAGGCAGCGCAUCCAAGUCCUGAGGCAGCAGUCGCAGAUCAUGUCACCUCGGGGAAAGGACCUGUGCUGCGCACAACGUUUACGAUGGCAAGGGAGGAGAUUGGAACGAGGCUUUCAAGGAACCUAAGAGAAAGGAGGUAUCCCCUCACUUGCCGCAGCUGCAGGCACGCUGCCUUCAGGACUUUGGCACAGGACGUGGGACCACUGCAGCUCUGCAAAACCCUGUUGUGGUGAGGCUGCUUUGUCUCCUGAAAUCGUGAGGAUGUGAAUACCUGCAGCUCUAUCUGAUUCUACUUGCUCUGUCAUUCCUAAGCAGCAAAGACUCCUCCACAAGACGUCUCUGCUCCUACUUCUGGGAAUGAGUAAGGUCCGAUCCCCCACUCUGGCACGUCAUCGGUAGUGCCAGCUCAUCGUGAGACGGGGACAACCUGCAGAGGAGCAGCGCCUGGUUCUGCUGGGCUCCGAGAGCGUGGGCAUCCCCUUGUCCUCAGUCGGGAAGAAAGCUGUCACUGCUGCCUUCUCCCUGCUCACUUCACUCCUGAACCUCUUGUGUUGGUGCAAACCAGCAGUACCUUUGAGCAAAACGAGACUAAUGUACAGUGCAAUAAAGAGACCAUUAAUUGCUUGUGCUUGUCCCUAGUGAUUUACCUGAAUUUUACAAAUAAGCGGUAGUGCCAGCAACAACAAAACACCUUUGCCAGAAUUUUCAGUGGCAAAAGCUUUGACAGAAAUGGAAAUUGCACCCAAAAUACCAUUUUUGCAGUUUGUUUCUAUGUUUUUAUUUGAGAAAAAAAUGUGGAAAAGAAUGUUUUCCAGCAACUAAAACCUAAGCUUUUGUGAUAUUAAAUGAAAAAAAAAAAAAUCAAUUUUUGAGUUUUUCAGUGCAACUUCAAAAAUUCUCAAACUUUUUUAAACAUAGAGAGGAAAAUGGCUUGACUUGUUCACAAGAAUUUCUCUGAAACCAAGUUACAUCUCUGUAGAUACUUAAAUGCACUGUGGUCAGAGGCCCUAGCUUCUCGUGGUUUUGUACUCAUGGAAUUCAUCACAAGGCUUUUAUUCACUUUUAGCUUAGAAAGUGUGAUACAACUGUACAUUUGUGCUUGCUCUCAGAUGAGCUGGAACAUUUUAUAACAUUUUCUGGUCUAUUUUCCAGUCCUGUAUCAAGUAAAUAAACUCUUUGAUGUUACCAGCAGAAAGCCUAA